GCCGGGAUGGCGAAACUGGUAGACGCACCAGACUCAAAAUCUGGCGGGAGCAAUCCCAUGAGGGUUCGAUUCCCCCUCCCGGCACCA
This 87-nucleotide transfer RNA is filed under the name Magnetococcales bacterium. RNAcentral's name for it is "tRNA-Leu". It matches the Rfam family "tRNA". From Rfam's summary of the family: Transfer RNA (tRNA) molecules are approximately 80 nucleotides in length. Their secondary structure includes four short double-helical elements and three loops (D, anti-codon, and T loops). Lineage: Bacteria; Pseudomonadati; Pseudomonadota; Magnetococcia; Magnetococcales. The record is from RNAcentral. RNAcentral also lists the same sequence under 4 other names.